GGAAUCUUCCACAAUGGACGAAAGUCUGAUGGAGCAACGCCGCGUGAGUGAAGAAGGUUUUCGGAUCGUAAAGCUCUGUUGUUGGUGAAGAAGGAUAGAGGCAGUAACUGGUCUUUAUUUGACGGUAAUCAACCAGAAAGUCACGGCUAACUACGUGCCAGCAGCCGCGGCAAUACGUAGGUGGCAAGCGUUGUCCGGAUUUAUUGGGCGUAAAGCGAGCGCAGGCGGAAUGAUAAGUCUGAUGUGAAAGCCCACGGCUCAACCGUGGAACUGCAUCGGAAACUGUCAUUCUUGAGUGCAGAAGAGGAGAGUGGAACUCCAUGUGUAGCGGUGGAAUGCGUAGAUAUAUGGAAGAACACCAGUGGCGAAGGCGGCUCUCUGGUCUGCAACUGACGCUGAGGCUCGAAAGCAUGGGUAGCGAACAGGAUUAGAUACCCUGGUAGUCCAUGCCGUAAACGAUGAGCGCUAGGUGUUGGGGACUUUCCGGUCCUCAGUGCCGCAGCAAACGCAUUAAGCGCU
RNAcentral lists this ribosomal RNA (519 nucleotides) under uncultured bacterium. RNAcentral's name for it is "partial 16S ribosomal RNA". It matches the Rfam family "Bacterial small subunit ribosomal RNA", at positions 358 to 868 of the family's 1533-position model. The record is from RNAcentral.